Choloepus didactylus (southern two-toed sloth) is the source of this 1122-nucleotide long non-coding RNA. RefSeq lists it as uncharacterized. Lineage: Eukaryota; Metazoa; Chordata; Mammalia; Pilosa; Megalonychidae. The record is from RefSeq and is a predicted model, not a curated record. The transcript is spliced from 3 exons.
GGAACUCUGGAGCACAAGCGGCCGUCGCCCGCAGGGACUGCCCACGCCGCGCCCCAGAGACUUCGGGAGCACCUGUUGUACCAGGAGUUGGCAGAGAGAACAUCCCUGGGGCCAGCUGGAGGAAUCUUGGGGGAUGACAUUCCUGCCAUUUCCACCAUGGCAGGCUGAACUUGUCCUCAAGUUGCAAAACUACUGGACAGGGUCUAUCUGGAGGGAUGUGCUCGUAUUCACUCAGGGAAGUCAGACACAGCCUUGAUCCGGGAGGCAGGAGUGUGAAGCAAAACCUGCCUGAGUGUCAGGACACCAGGAUUCUGCCCUUGGUCUGACAGUCACAAUUUGGAUGACUUUGGGUAAGUUCCUUCCCCUUUCUGUGACUGUGUCGCAUUUUGUACAGUGAGGAGUUUGGGUUAUUGAUCCCAGUGGUUCUAAAUCUUGACUGACCAUUUGAAUCACCCAGGAGUUGGGUUUUUCCCCAUCACUUUAUUGAAGCAUAAUUUACAAACAAUAAAAUGUACCCAUUAUAAGUAUACAGUUUAUUGAAUUUUGACAAAUGUUUACAUUUGUGUAACCACCACCCCGAUCAAGUUAUAGAACAUUCCCCUCACCCCCAACCUUCGUCUAUAUUCCACUGCAAUCACAUCCCCACAAUCCCAGUCCCAGGCAAUCACUGAUUGAUAUCUGUCAUUAGAGAUUUGUGGUACCUUUUCAAAAAUUUUGUAUAAGUGGAAUCAUAUGUCAUAUGUCGGUUUACUUAGCAUGAUGUUCUUGAGACUCUUCAUCCUGUUGUAUGCACCAAUAGUUACUCCUUUUCAUUGCCAAGUAGAAUCCCAUUAAAUGGAUGUACCACACUUUGUUUAUCCAUUUAUCUAUUUCUGAAUAUUUGUUCUGUUUCCAGAUUUAACUGGUAUGAGUAAAGCUGCCAGGCAGUGGUUAAAUUUGUUCAUAUUUAUUCGGUGUAUGAAUAAAUGAAUUAUUAAAUAUGUGUUGGCCUGUUUGUAAUCACAUGUAUUGAGGCCCUAGAUUUCAUCAGUAGCUCUGUCUAAAUCAUGUUGCAUCACCAGUAAUUGCUGUCACUAACCCCUGAAUCCCUUGGUUUUACUGACAGUUAUCAUUUCAUCUCUA